Molecule: unclassified non-coding RNA, 130 nt
Filed under: fungal sp.
Lineage: Eukaryota; Fungi
Description: partial internal transcribed spacer region
Source: RNAcentral
AAGUCGUAACAAGGUUUCCGUAGGUUUCCUGCGUGGGCUCCUACCACAUUAAUUUUACCUCGGUGGUGCGAGGGCCAAGUGGCCUGCCGCACCGAACACACAACUGUUAACAAUGGAUAUCUUGGUUCUC